This 367-nucleotide long non-coding RNA is filed under the name Sphaeramia orbicularis (orbiculate cardinalfish). RNAcentral describes it as "lncRNA (ENSSORG00005001623.1)". The record is from RNAcentral. Lineage: Eukaryota; Metazoa; Chordata; Actinopteri; Kurtiformes; Apogonidae.
GACCACGGUCAGACACUGGGAAACGGUCCUGAUGAUGGUCAGCGAUGGUCAAGCAUCGUUUUCCCUUGAAGACCUCCUCAUUUUUAUCACCGGAACAGAUCACCUACCUCCUCUUGGGUUCCCCAGACGGAUCUCAUUGUGUUUUUACUCCCAGGAUGUGAGCAUGUCAAGUGUGCGUCUUCCUUAUGUCUCCACCUGCUCACUGAAGCUCUUCCUGCCGAGGGGAGUCCGUGGGGCUGCAGAUCUUUUGGUCCUGUUGAGCAGAGCCAUGCACGACUCUCUGGGCUUUGCUGGUUUACAAAUAGGAUGCGGGGAAGAAGUGAUGACAAGUGUGUGAAGUUAAGGUUAAGAGGCCUCUUAAGGACAC